RNAcentral lists this ribosomal RNA (253 nucleotides) under uncultured bacterium. RNAcentral's name for it is "partial 16S ribosomal RNA". It matches the Rfam family "Bacterial small subunit ribosomal RNA", at positions 524 to 776 of the family's 1533-position model. The record is from RNAcentral.
UACGAAGGGAGCUAGCGUUGUUCGGAAUCACUGGGCGUAAAGCGCACGUAGGCGGAUGUGUCAGUCAGGGGUGAAAUCCCGGAGCUCAACUUCGGAACUGCCCUUGAUACAGCACGUCUUGAGUCCGGAAGAGGUGGGUGGGAUUCCUAGUGUAGAGGUGAAAUUCGUAGAUAUUAGGAAGAACACCGGUGGCGAAGGCGGCCCACUGGUCCGGUACUGACGCUGAGGUGCGAAAGCGUGGGGAGCAAACAGG